This 382-nucleotide transfer-messenger RNA is filed under the name Phoenicibacter congonensis. It matches the Rfam family "transfer-messenger RNA". Rfam says of the family: Bacterial tmRNA, also known as 10Sa RNA or SsrA, is named for its dual tRNA and mRNA-like properties. Its role is to liberate the mRNA from a stalled ribosome. Lineage: Bacteria; Bacillati; Actinomycetota; Coriobacteriia; Eggerthellales; Eggerthellaceae. The record is from Rfam by way of RNAcentral.
GGGGCCGACUGGUUUCGACAUGGCAAGUUAUCGCAUGAGGAGCAGGCCGUGUUCUCCUAAACACGCUAAUAAUGGGUAAAGUCAAAUUAAUUGGCAAAGCUAAAACUUCAAGCGCAGGAUUCGCUCCUGUCGCUAUGGCUGCUUAAUUUAGUCAGCCUCGUCUCUCUCGAUAUCCCCGCUUCGAGAUGCAGAUGUCAUUUUUAGGGGUGCCUCACCUUUGAGACCUUCGACCGCUCGCUUGUGAGAAAGACAAAGUUCGAAUCGAAUGUGACGUUUGUGCAAUUGACCGAAGCAUUUUAAAGCCUGACGAAUUGCACUAAGCUUGUAGAGCCUAAUGCGAGGUUUGGUGUGGAUCGGGGUUCGACUCCCCGCGGCUCCACCA